GUAGUCUCGCACAGAUGCAUAUCAAUAAGCGGAGGAAAAGAAACUAACAAGGAUUCCCCUAGUAACGGCGAGUGAAGCGGGAAGAGCUCAAAUUUGAAAUCUUAAAGGGUUUUCCCUUGACGAAUUGUAGUUUAAAGAAGUGUUUUCUGAUUGAAGUUUUGGUAAAAGUUCUUUGGAAUAGGACAUCAUAGAGGGUGAGAAUCCCGUAUUUGACCAUUAUUUUCAGCUGUGUGAUACACUUUCAAAGAGUCGGAUUGUUUGGGAAUGCAGUCCAAAAUGGGUGGUAAAUUUCAUCUAAAGCUAAAUAUUGGCGGAGAGACCGAUAGCGAACAAGUACCGUGAGGGAAAGAUGAAAAGAACUUUGAAAAGAGAGUUAAACAGUACGUGAAAUUGUCAAAAGGGAAGCGUUUGACACCAGUGUUGUUUUCUCGAAAAUCAAUUAAAAAGAGUUAGAUUUUGUUGUGUAUUGACCUUAACAGCUUGCAUUUCAAUUUUCUUGCUUUUUUUAAUGCACUCUUCGUUUAACAAGUCAACAUCAGUUUCUUUUGUUGUAAAAAGGUCAUUGGAAGGUGGCUUUCUUUUCGGAGAAAGUGUUUAUAGCCUUUGACUCCUGCAAUCGGAGAGACUGAGGUCUGCAGCGUAGAUCCUUCGGGGUUAGAUACAUUUGUGCUAAGUUAUAGCUUUUUAUAGACAACUUGUUGACUAUGAUUAGUCUUGUAGCUUACUCGCUUAUGCUAUUUUACCUACGCUUAGGAUGUUGAGCGCAUGUCUCUCUCU
Molecule: ribosomal RNA, 777 nt
Filed under: uncultured Neocallimastigales
Lineage: Eukaryota; Fungi; Neocallimastigomycota; Neocallimastigomycetes; Neocallimastigales
Description: partial large subunit ribosomal RNA
Rfam family: Eukaryotic large subunit ribosomal RNA
Source: RNAcentral